UCGAGCGGACAGAUGGGAGCUUGCUCCCUGAUGUUAGCGGCGGACGGGUGAGUAACACGUGGGUAACCUGCCUGUAAGACUGGGAUAACUCCGGGAAACCGGGGCUAAUACCGGAUGCUUGUUUGAACCGCAUGGUUCAAACAUAAAAGGUGGCUUCGGCUACCACUUACAGAUGGACCCGCGGCGCAUUAGCUAGUUGGUGAGGUAAUGGCUCACCAAGGCAACGAUGCGUAGCCGACCUGAGAGGGUGAUCGGCCACACUGGGACUGAGACACGGCCCAGACUCCUACGGGAGGCAGCAGUAGGGAAUCUUCCGCAAUGGACGAAAGUCUGACGGAGCAACGCCGCGUGAGUGAUGAAGGUUUUCGGAUCGUAAAGCUCUGUUGUUAGGGAAGAACAAGUGCCGUUCAAAUAGGGCGGCACCUUGACGGUACCUAACCAGAAAGCCACGGCUAACUACGUGCCAGCAGCCGCGGUAAUACGUAGGUGGCAAGCGUUGUCCGGAAUUAUUGGGCGUAAAGGGCUCGCAGGCGGUUUCUUAAGUCUGAUGUGAAAGCCCCCGGCUCAACCGGGGAGGGUCAUUGGAAACUGGGGAACUUGAGUGCAGAAGAGGAGAGUGGAAUUCCACGUGUAGCGGUGAAAUGCGUAGAGAUGUGGAGGAACACCAGUGGCGAAGGCGACUCUCUGGUCUGUAACUGACGCUGAGGAGCGAAAGCGUGGGGAGCGAACAGGAUUAGAUACCCUGGUAGUCCACGCCGUAAACGAUGAGUGCUAAGUGUUAGGGGGUUUCCGCCCCUUAGUGCUGCAGCUAACGCAUUAAGCACUCCGCCUGGGGAGUACGGUCGCAAGACUGAAACUCAAAGGAAUUGACGGGGGCCCGCACAAGCGGUGGAGCAUGUGGUUUAAUUCGAAGCAACGCGAAGAACCUUACCAGGUCUUGACAUCCUCUGACAGCCCUAGAGAUAGGGCUUCCCCUUCGGGGGCAGAGUGACAGGUGGUGCAUGGUUGUCGUCAGCUCGUGUCGUGAGAUGUUGGGUUAAGUCCCGCAACGAGCGCAACCCUUGAUCUUAGUUGCCAGCAUUCAGUUGGGCACUCUAAGGUGACUGCCGGUGACAAACCGGAGGAAGGUGGGGAUGACGUCAAAUCAUCAUGCCCCUUAUGACCUGGGCUACACACGUGCUACAAUGGACAGAACAAAGGGCAGCGAGACCGCGAGGUUAAGCCAAUCCCACAAAUCUGUUCUCAGUUCGGAUCGCAGUCUGCAACUCGACUGCGUGAAGCUGGAAUCGCUAGUAAUCGCGGAUCAGCAUGCCG
RNAcentral lists this ribosomal RNA (1314 nucleotides) under Bacillus sp. (in: firmicutes). RNAcentral's name for it is "bacterial SSU rRNA". It matches the Rfam family "Bacterial small subunit ribosomal RNA", at positions 62 to 1359 of the family's 1533-position model. Lineage: Bacteria; Bacillati; Bacillota; Bacilli; Caryophanales; Bacillaceae. The record is from RNAcentral.